AUUGCACAAUGGGGGAAACCCUGAUGCAGCGACGCCGCGUGGAGGAAGAAGGUCUUCGGAUUGUAAACUCCUGUUGUUGGGGAAGAUAAUGACGGUACCCAACAAGGAAGUGACGGCUAACUACGUGCCAGCAGCCGCGGUAAUA
Molecule: ribosomal RNA, 145 nt
Filed under: uncultured Bacillota bacterium
Lineage: Bacteria; Bacillati; Bacillota
Description: uncultured Firmicutes bacterium partial 16S ribosomal RNA
Rfam family: Bacterial small subunit ribosomal RNA
Source: RNAcentral